AUUUCGGUUGUCGAUGGGGAUGCGUUCCAUUAGGCAGUUGGCGGGGUAACGGCCCACCAAACCAACGAUGGAUAGGGGUUCCGAGAGGAAGGUCCCCCACAUUGGAACUGAGACACGGUCCAAACUCCUACGGGAGGCAGCAGUGAGGAAUAUUGGUCAAUGGACGAGAGUCUGAACCAGCCAAGUAGCGUGAAGGAUGACUGCCCUAUGGGUUGUAAACUUCUUUUAUACGGGAAUAAAGUAAGCCACGUGUGGCUUUUUGUAUGUACCGUAUGAAUAAGGAUCGGCUAACUCCGUGCCAGCAGCCGCGGUAAUACGGAGGAUCCGAGCGUUAUCCGGAUUUAUUGGGUUUAAAGGGAGCGUAGGCGGGUUGUUAAGUCAGUUGUGAAAGUUUGCGGCUCAACCGUAAAAUUGCAGUUGAUACUGGCGACCUUGAGUGCAACAGAGGUAGGCGGAAUUCGUGGUGUAGCGGUGAAAUGCUUAGAUAUCACGAAGAACUCCGAUUGCGAAGGCAGCUUACUGGAUUGUAACUGACGCUGAUGCUCGAAAGUGUGGGUAUCAAACAGGAUUAGAUACCCUGGUAGUCCACACAGUAAACGAUGAAUACUCGCUGUUGGCGAUAUACGGUCAGCGGCCAAGCGAAAGCAUUAAGUAUUCCACCUGGGGAGUACGCCGGCAACGGUGAAACUCAA
RNAcentral lists this ribosomal RNA (692 nucleotides) under uncultured bacterium. Its description in RNAcentral is "bacterial SSU rRNA". It matches the Rfam family "Bacterial small subunit ribosomal RNA", at positions 212 to 904 of the family's 1533-position model. The record is from RNAcentral.